UAAGAGUCACAAUGAUCAGCGUUCUAGUCAUUUUUCAGUUACUUUACUGGAUUCAAGGAGUUGCAGGGGGAAAUGAUGUCUCUCAGCCCAGUAUGCUCUGGGCUAAACUGGGCCAAUCAGCCACAAUGAACUGCUCACACACAAAGGGUUCAGGUUACGAUCGGAUGUACUGGUUCCGUCAGUAUCAAGGAGAGAGCAUGGAGCUCAUAGUGUACAGUCCCACCUAUAGCACUCCAGAUUUUGGAAAGUUCAACCAGAGUAAAUUUUCAGUCAAUAAAACAGUUGCUGAGAGAGGCUUCUUCACAGUGAAGGAUGUGGAUUAUAAUGACAUCGCUGUGUAUUUCUGUGCUGUGAGUGAACACAGUGUUAUAACCACAGGGCAGAGCUGUACAAAAACUCAGUCAGGAGCAAAAGUAAAUGAACCAAAGGGGGCAGUAUGA
Molecule: non-coding RNA, 440 nt
Organism: Neoarius graeffei (lesser salmon catfish)
Lineage: Eukaryota; Metazoa; Chordata; Actinopteri; Siluriformes; Ariidae
Source: the annotation of a RefSeq genome assembly